This 45-nucleotide non-coding RNA is filed under the name Schistosoma margrebowiei. The record is from RNAcentral. Lineage: Eukaryota; Metazoa; Platyhelminthes; Trematoda; Strigeidida; Schistosomatidae.
AUCCAGCUGACAAGUCCGACAUAGGAAGAAACUCGCGUCCUGGAU